Molecule: long non-coding RNA, 339 nt
Organism: Rhagoletis pomonella (apple maggot)
Lineage: Eukaryota; Metazoa; Arthropoda; Insecta; Diptera; Tephritidae
Exons: 3
Source: RefSeq, a predicted model, not a curated record
CUCACACUUUUUCACUAACGCACUCUUAUUUAUUGCUUGAAUGGCUUUUCAGCAUUGGCGUGCGAAUUUUGUGGAAAUAAAAAAAUACUAAGGUUAUGCAUGGUACAAUGUUAAUCUACAAUGGAAUUACUAUGGAAAAUUUCAGAAGCUAACAAGCAAAGUGUGUGAGGAAAUGGAAAGGCAAAACUGAUUGUGUGUCAUCAGCGUUAUAUCGACGUAUUAGACCUGGAAUACUAUAGCUCGGAACACUUUGACGACUGCAACUUCACGACGUAACGACAGCGACAUCAUUUUGUCGACAAAUGUCGCCUUGAAGCCAGCUUCUUAAACAUUUUGAAG